Molecule: unclassified non-coding RNA, 270 nt
Filed under: uncultured fungus
Lineage: Eukaryota; Fungi
Description: sequence contains ITS1, 5.8S rRNA gene
Rfam family: 5.8S ribosomal RNA (bases 222-270)
Source: RNAcentral
UCUCCGUUGGUGAACCAGCGGAGGGAUCAUUACCGAGUUGAAAAACUCCCACAACCAUCGUGAACUUACCUACCGUUGCCUCGGCGGGCGAUGGGCGGGCGCCCCACCAGGGCCUCGCCCCGUCGUCUGCCCCCUCAGCCCCUCGGGGCGGGGGGCGCCCGCCGCAGGACAUCCACACUACGUUUCCAGUGUCUCUCGGAGUACUGUAUCCAAUACAUCAAAACUUUCAACAAUGGAUCUCUUGGUUCUGGCAUCGAUGAAGAACGCAGC